Molecule: ribosomal RNA, 492 nt
Filed under: uncultured bacterium
Lineage: Bacteria
Description: partial 16S ribosomal RNA
Rfam family: Bacterial small subunit ribosomal RNA
Source: RNAcentral
AGUGAACGCUGGCGGUAGGCCUAACACAUGCAAGUCGAACGGCAGCACAGUAAGAGCUUGCUCUUACGGGUGGCGAGUGGCGGACGGGUGAGGAAUACAUCGGAAUCUACUUUUUCGUGGGGGAUAACGUAGGGAAACUUACGCUAAUACCGCAUACGACCUACGGGUGAAAGCAGGGGAUCUUCGGACCUUGCGCGAUUGAAUGAGCCGAUGUCGGAUUAGCUAGUUGGCGGGGUAAAGGCCCACCAAGGCGACGAUCCGUAGCUGGUCUGAGAGGAUGAUCAGCCACACGGGAACUGAGACACGGUCCAUACUCCUACGGGAGGCAGCAGUGGGGAAUAUUGGACAAUGGGCGCAAGCCUGAUCCAGCCAUACCGCGUGGGUGAAGAAGGCCUUCGGGUUGGAAAGCCCUUUUGUUGGGAAAGAAAAGCAGCAGGUUAAUACCCCGCUGUUCUGACGGUACCCAAAGAAUAAGCACCGGCUAACUUCGUG